Molecule: long non-coding RNA, 1103 nt
Organism: Cyprinus carpio carpio
Lineage: Eukaryota; Metazoa; Chordata; Actinopteri; Cypriniformes; Cyprinidae
Source: Ensembl
GCCAACUUCUGACACCAAGAAGGCUAUGGCAAUGGCGUUAAUUGAAGAGUUUCCCUGCCUUAAAGACAUCAGAGGCAAUGGCUAUGUAAGAACCUUUUUUUUUUUUUUUUUUGGGCUUUCACAUAGUUCUAAGCCACAUUUUAUAUCAGUAAAAACUGCUCUGUAUGUUUCGUGAUACUUUUAAGGAGGCAUUUUACACACCAGGCCGGAACCACCGUCCAGCCACAGGCUUCAUUGAGGAGCGCUUACGAAACAUCAGAAAGAGAAUGAGAAAACUUUCCAGACCUCAAAGACAUGAAGAGGACACAUCACAUAGGAUGGUAAUCCCUGAACCUACUAUUCCAACGGAGAGAGCCCAAAGUCUUGUGAACUGGCUGAAAAAUAACCAUGCACCUAUUAACCAAGUGGUAGAAAAUAUGAAGGAGACAGCCUUAUAUCGGGCUAAGUGGAUCCGACAGAAUGGGACAAAGAGCAUCACAGAGGUUCUCCAUGAGUUCCCGCAUCUCUUGAACACACCUGGCAUGAUUUCCCAAGACUUUGAUCAGGUCCAUGGAGAAACUGGACUGAAGCUUUUUGAAUCGUGGGCCAAUUUCUUUGCUGACAGAAUUCUAAGGAUUGCGAUUAAGGAAGAAAAACUGAAUAAGACUUGGGAGAACAUUCCACAAGAGAAUCGAGGUGAUGUUGCUCUUUUGGUCCUUCCCCUACUUCUUCCUCCCACGGUAUACAGAAUUGGUCAGAAGGUCUUUCGACCAUCCAUUGACGAAGCUAGGAAGGCCUUCAUUGAUCUUCAACCAGUUGGAACAAAUAUGGUUGAAUUCAUUAACCGGCCAGAGUCCACAAAACACCAUCCCUUUGUCAUGGCUAUGGGAAAUGGCCAGCAAAUCUCCCAGGCAUUUGUGAUAAUCAAUGGACAGGCUCUGGAGCAGAGCACACUGCUCGCAGCUGUAGAUCUUUGUUUCAAAGCUUUCUAUGUCUUUGACAUGAACUACCCCAAGCAGUGCGCAUCGACCUGGGAGUUCAUGCAGCAUGUCGUCUUCCAAAUAGAGGGCAAUGAAACAUCUGCAGUUCGUUUUCUUCGCACAUCCUUAUUCGCUGAAGAGUAA